UACGGGGGAGCAAGCGUUGUUCGGAUUUACUGGCGUAAAGGGCGCGUAGGCGGUCAGCACAAGUCAGUUGUGAAAUCUCCGGGCUUAACUCGGAAAGGUCAACUGAUACUGUGCGACUAGAGUGCAGAAGGGCAACUGGAAUUCUCGGUGUAGCGGUGAAAUGCGUAGAUAUCGAGAGGAACACCUGCGGCGAAGGCGGGUUGCUGGGCUGACACUGACGCUGAUGCGCGAAAGCCAGGGAGCGAACGGG
RNAcentral lists this ribosomal RNA (250 nucleotides) under uncultured bacterium. RNAcentral's name for it is "partial 16S ribosomal RNA". It matches the Rfam family "Bacterial small subunit ribosomal RNA", at positions 524 to 776 of the family's 1533-position model. The record is from RNAcentral.